Long non-coding RNA from Mus musculus (house mouse), 742 nucleotides. RefSeq annotates it as predicted gene, 48913. The record is from RefSeq and is a predicted model, not a curated record. The transcript has 3 exons. NCBI's taxonomy places the organism in Eukaryota, Metazoa, Chordata, Mammalia, Rodentia, Muridae.
AAUAUCAAAAGUGGAGAGUUAUGUAAUUUCUACCGAGGUCAUGGUGAAAUUUAGCUCCUUCCUGCUGUGCUUCAGGACUCUUGCUUCAAAGUCUCCCUAGGAAGGACGAUCUUAGAGGAUACAGAUCAUCCAUAUGCCUAUAAAAGGACAGGAUUAUGUAAUGUUCACUUCAUGUUGCAGAACAGACUCCUCCCUCCUCUAAUUUUACAAGUAAAAGGGAAGAAAAAUUGAAGAAGAAAAUAUCAAUGACAAAAGAUGACAACAUAGUGAAAGAAACCACCAAGAAAGUAUCCUGCAACUGAGUACAAAGAGAGACUGUCGGCACGCAUUGUUCCAGAUGACUCCGGUGACUCACUGGUCCAUGGCCUCUGUCCAGCUAAACUGCUAAUCUCCAAGUUGGCAAGCCCUCACUUUUGUCUUAUUUUUGAAAGGCUUUAUAGAAAUGGCGGUUGCCAUACAUAUAUAUUGUAAGAGAGAGCAAGCAUAGAGGGAAAGGAUAUGAGGAAAAGCAAGAGGAAGAAGAAGAGGGCAAGAAGAGAGAGACUUAGAUUAGGCCACCACCACCAUUCUACACCUAGAUUACCAUAAUGGCUUGUGUUUGCUUCACUUCCAUAUUCACAAACUUAAUCCACAUACGACUGGCAGAUUGAUCUUUCUCAUGUUAUUUUAAUCAUUGUAUUACUAUCAAAAUCUACAACAUAUCCUAACAUUAAAGGAGUAGGGCAUCUUGUGUAAUCUCUAC